Molecule: long non-coding RNA, 511 nt
Filed under: Androctonus crassicauda
Lineage: Eukaryota; Metazoa; Arthropoda; Arachnida; Scorpiones; Buthidae
Source: RNAcentral
UUGCUUAAUAAUUAACAUUAGAAUUAGUGUAUUUUAUGUGUGGCCCAAGACAAUAUUUAGUCUUCAAAUGUGGCCCAAGGAAGCCAAAAGGUUGAACACCCUUGCUUUAGUAAUAGUAUUACAUUGUAGUGCAUUAGAAGACUGAAAUGAAGAAGUAAUUAAGAUUUUUAAAUAUGGAAAGAAAUGUGGUUAUGAAAUUAUUUUUUACAAUCAAUAUACAAAUGCAGAUUUCAAAAAAAUAGAAAGUGAUGAAAAAUAUGAAGAUGCAUAAUAGUAAUGUGUGAAUACAGCAGAACAAUUCAGUGAUGACAUCUGUUAGAUCUUCAGAAGAAUCUUAUGUUAAAGAAUCAUAUCACAUGAGUAGGUAUACAAAAAUUAGAAAAGUGAUCAAUAAGCAAAGUAAAAAAAAUGGCAUACACCAGAAGUCCUGUGAAGAAGUUAACUCUCACCUAUCCUAUUUAUUAUUUUAUUAUGCUCUUUAUUAUUUUUAUUGUUAUAUUCAUUAUUAUUU